This 377-nucleotide ribosomal RNA is filed under the name uncultured bacterium. RNAcentral describes it as "bacterial SSU rRNA". It matches the Rfam family "Bacterial small subunit ribosomal RNA", at positions 523 to 898 of the family's 1533-position model. The record is from RNAcentral.
GUACGUAGGGGGCAAGCGUUGUCCGGAAUUACUGGGCGUAAAGGGUGCGUAGGCGGCCAGGCAAGUCCGAUGUGAAAUACCACGGCUAAACUGUGGGGGUGCAUAGGAAACUGUCUGGCUUGAGUGCAGGAGAGGAAAGUGGAAUUCCUGGUGUAGCGGUGAAAUGCGUAGAGAUCAGGAAGAACACCAGUGGCGAAGGCGACUUUCUGGACUGUAACUGGCGCUGAGGCACGAAAGCGUGGGGAGCAAACAGGAUUAGAUACCCUGGUAGUCCACGCCGUAAACGAUGGAUACUAGGUGUAGGGGGUAUCGACCCCCCCUGUGCCGGAGUUAACGCAAUAAGUAUCCCGCCUGGGGAGUACGGCCGCAAGGUUGAA